AUAAGAGCCACUGUGGGGUAUUUGACCAGUACAGAAGCGGAAGAUAUCAGAACAUAAACUCUACUCACUCCAUCCACUGCUCUGUGGCCCCCCCAAAUCCUGGGAUUGUAAUUUAGUUUCCACUUGCAGAUUCAAGUGGACACUGGAUGCCAGAGCCCCAAAGCACCACUACCUGCACUUAAACAAAAAAAUUAAUGUUGAAGAUAACUGUCUUAUCAAAUACUUUUAUGCAUAUUGCACAAGAGUACAAUAAACAAUACAACCUGAAACUUAAUAAUCCUACAGGAAUGUAGUUCAGUACUGCUUUUUUUAUUUCUGC
Long non-coding RNA from Manis pentadactyla (Chinese pangolin), 319 nucleotides. RefSeq lists it as uncharacterized. Lineage: Eukaryota; Metazoa; Chordata; Mammalia; Pholidota; Manidae. The record is from RefSeq and is a predicted model, not a curated record. The transcript has 3 exons.